Molecule: ribosomal RNA, 503 nt
Filed under: uncultured bacterium
Lineage: Bacteria
Description: bacterial SSU rRNA
Rfam family: Bacterial small subunit ribosomal RNA
Source: RNAcentral
CACGAGUUUGAUCAUGGCUCAGAUUGAACGCUGGCGGAAUGCUUUACACAUGCAAGUCGAACGGUAGAGGGGGCAACCCUUGAGAGUGGCGAACGGGUGAGUAAUAUAUCGGAACGUGCCCAGUCGUGGGGGAUAACGUAGCGAAAGUUACGCUAAUACCGCAUACGAUCUACGGAUGAAAGCGGGGGACUCGCAAGAGCCUCGCGCGAUUGGAGCGGCCGAUAUCAGAUUAGGUAGUUGGUGGGGUAAAGGCUCACCAAGCCAACGAUCUGUAGCUGGUCUGAGAGGACGACCAGCCACACUGGAACUGAGACACGGUCCAGACUCCUACGGGAGGCAGCAGUGGGGAAUUUUGGACAAUGGACGCAAGUCUGAUCCAGCCAUUCCGCGUGCAGGAUGAAGGCCCUCGGGUUGUAAACUGCUUUUGUACGGAACGAAAAGGUUUCUAUUAAUACUAGGAGCUCAUGACGGUACCGUAAGAAUAAGCACCGGCUAACUACGUG